CCUACGGGAGGCAGCAGUGAGGAAUAUUGGUCAAUGGACGAGAGUCUGAACCAGCCAAGUAGCGUGAAGGAUGACUGCCCUAUGGGUUGUAAACUUCUUUUAUAUGGGAAUAAAAUGUUCCACGUGUGGGAUUUUGUAUGUACCAUAUGAAUAAGGAUCGGCUAACUCCGUGCCAGCAGCCGCGGUAAUACGGAUGAUCCGAGCGUUAUCCGGAUUGAUUGGGUUUAAAGGGAGCGUAGGUGGAUUGUUAAGUCAGUUGUGAAAGUUUGCGGCUCAACCGUAAAAUUGCAGUUGAAACUGGCAGUCUUGAGUACAGUAGAGGUGGGCGGAAUUCGUGGUGUAGCGGUGAAAUGCUUAGAGAUCACGAAGAACUCCGAUUGCGAAGGCAGCUCACUGGACUGCAACUGACACUGAGGCUCGAAAGUGUGGGUAUCAAACAGGAUUAGAUACCCCUGUAGUC
This 460-nucleotide ribosomal RNA is filed under the name uncultured bacterium. Its description in RNAcentral is "partial 16S ribosomal RNA". It matches the Rfam family "Bacterial small subunit ribosomal RNA", at positions 338 to 795 of the family's 1533-position model. The record is from RNAcentral.